CCAAUAGCGUAUAUUAAAGUUGUUGCAGUUAAAAAGCCCGUAGUUGAAUUUCGGGAUUGACACAUCGGUCGUGCCUUAAGGGGUAUGAACUGGUGUAGUCAAUUUCUCACCUUCUGGAGAACCGCGAUGCCCUUAAUUGGGUGUCGCGGGGAACCAGGACCUUUACUUUGAAAAAAUUAGAGUGUUUAAAGCAGGCAUUUUGCUUGAAUACAUUAGCAUGGAAUAAUAAAAUAGGACGGCAUGAUUCUAUUUUGUUGGUUUCUAGGAUCACCGUAAUGAUUAAUAGGGAUAGUUGGGGGCAUUAGUAUUCAAUUGUCAGAGGUGAAAUUCUUGGAUUUAUUGAAGACUAACUACUGCGAAAGCAUUUGCCAAGGAUGUUUUCAUUAAUCAAGAACGAAAGUUAGGGGAUCGAAGACGAUCAGAUACCGUCGUAGUCUUAACCAUAAACUAUGCCGACUAGGAAUCAGACGAUGUUAAUUUUUUAAUGACUCGUUUGGCACCUUACA
RNAcentral lists this ribosomal RNA (506 nucleotides) under uncultured Glomeromycotina. RNAcentral describes it as "partial small subunit ribosomal RNA". It matches the Rfam family "Eukaryotic small subunit ribosomal RNA", at positions 591 to 1092 of the family's 1831-position model. Lineage: Eukaryota; Fungi; Glomeromycota. The record is from RNAcentral.